RNAcentral lists this long non-coding RNA (749 nucleotides) under Mus musculus (house mouse). RNAcentral's name for it is "long non-coding RNA chr9:65186278-65187027". Lineage: Eukaryota; Metazoa; Chordata; Mammalia; Rodentia; Muridae. The record is from RNAcentral.
CAUCCCUAUCGUCCUCCCUGCCUGGGUUUAGGGAAGGUGGGACAUAACCUGUCUCCUGUUCUCCCAGACACAGGGCCCAGUCUCUGGAAUGUAUUGCAUUGUGUGGAGGUGGGUGCUCUCCCAUAGAGGCACACCAGCUUUCUGGGACCCAGGUAACCUGACCUGCCCAGUCAGCAGGGGUGGCCAAGAGUUAUUUUUUUAUGAGGUGUGUUUACGUUUUAUUUCUCUUUUCUGUUGUAUUGUUCUUUGAACUACUUAGGUUAAAAAGUAAGAAACAGAAAGGAAAAAAAAAACCACAAAUACCUAUUUUUGGUUACACUCAGAAACAUUUUUUUAAAUAGCAGAAGAAAAACUUUUUUUAAAGAAAAAAAAAAAAGGUUAAGUGUAUUCUUUAAAAAAUGAGGUUAGAACAUAAAGUCCCUGACCCCAAAUCCUCUAGGGAUUCCCACCCUGAACUCUAGAGAAUUAGCUAAAAGGUAGAAUUUGUGGCGUUUCAUUAGAAACCCAGACUCUUGUCCAAGUGGACUUGGGAAGGGCAGUCUGUCCCUUCUCUCAAAUGGUAGGUGGAUUCUAGGGCUCUUCCCACUCUGAGCCAGUGUCCUCUGUCCCCAAGUUGCUUCUCUGUGGCAUCCCAUUUUUCUUUGGUCAGAGAGGCUAGGGGAGAGGGGGCUGGCAGCCUCUUUGGCCUGACUUGGUUGGGUUUGUCACAGUGGAUUCAUUUUAACUGAAUAAAAGUACUGUUGCCAAAG